CGCACUAAAUAUUUGAACACUCGCACUAAACGUUUGAACACUCACAAUAGAAAUUUUUCUAUGUUUAAUUCUGUGUGGUUUUUAAUUAUGAGUUAAAUCCCAAAAAAUACAAUUAAAAUUACCUCGUAUUUUCGCAUGUGCCUUUCUCCUCGAGCCGCCGCCUUUAAUUUAUAGAAAAACCUCAGAACCGGGAGGUGACAUAUUUUAUGAAUAUUAAAUAGAAAGGGCAUGUAGCAAAUAAUCUACAACGGUUAAAAACGUGAAAAAAUAUCAAACAUUUGCAAGAAUUUCGAACUAGCAUUCCACAAAUUCCACAAUGCACACACACAAUAUUCGAAGUGUCACACACAAUAUUCGAAGUGUCGCACACAAAACAUUCGAAAAAAUCUCGUUAAUUUAUGCAACUAUUCACAUAUUCUAUUCUAAUUUAUGUGACGAUUAAUUUAUACAUACGGAGGGAGGGAAAUAUAGUUAAGGAGCGGACCAUUUGAUUUUUGAGGGGGGGGUGGAAGAUUCAGUCUGUGCAAGAAUUUUUUUCCGCCCAGGCGAACAAGACAGAUAUUUUUUUCCUGUAAAAGUGCAGCGCAAGAUAUUUUUUUCCCAAUAUAUUUGGCCGCAGGAUAUUUUUU
Molecule: non-coding RNA, 629 nt
Organism: Paramuricea clavata
Lineage: Eukaryota; Metazoa; Cnidaria; Anthozoa; Malacalcyonacea; Plexauridae
Source: the annotation of a GenBank genome assembly